Molecule: small nucleolar RNA, 200 nt
Organism: Candoia aspera
Lineage: Eukaryota; Metazoa; Chordata; Lepidosauria; Squamata; Candoiidae
Product: small nucleolar RNA SNORA74
Exons: 1
Source: RefSeq, a predicted model, not a curated record
UCCAGUGGUAGUCAGCUGUCUGAGUCACUCCCAUGUCUUUGAUAGUGUUACACUACUGGAAGAUAAAAGUACUGUUUCAGCAGCUGCCGGUCGCUGUCUCUGUUCUGGAGACAUAGACACAGUGUGGGCAGUGCUGUGCUUCGCUGAGAGUGCGCUGAGCAAGACACAUCCUGGUCAGUGCUAGUCUGGAAGCAUACACA